Molecule: long non-coding RNA, 801 nt
Filed under: Arabidopsis lyrata
Lineage: Eukaryota; Viridiplantae; Streptophyta; Magnoliopsida; Brassicales; Brassicaceae
Description: long non-coding RNA (ALYR_LNC000024)
Source: RNAcentral
AUUUGCCCCGGGACGAGCUAGAUUCGGAGAUGGGCGAGAAGUACUCAUCUUUGAGUACUCAGACGUGGCGAUCGGUUAUCCCGAUCGGUUGCAGAACCGAUCGGAGGCCAUUAGUACGCAAUCCGUGUUUUGCCGCUCGGUUAUCCCGAUCGGUUGCACAACCGAUCGGGGCUCUAUUUCCGCCUCUUCUUGUGCUUCUUUAAAUCCUUUUAGCUUCCUUUGAAGCUUGAGAAUUGUAGAACACUUUUGGGCGCCUUUUGACAACACCAAGUCAGCCACUUAGCUCUUAAAGCUAAUCCUUCCUCAUUAUCCCUUCAUAGAACAACUUCAAGACUAGACUUUUAAGGCUUCUUUCAUGACCGCUUCUUAUGCUUCAAGGGCUGCUCCAAAUCGCCAUUUCUUCUUGGAAAACUCAUCAAGAAGAGAUGGAAGGCAUAAGCCUGAGAAUUAAUGACAAAAAAAUAAAGUGUAUGUUACCAAGAAUAAGAGAUUAAGUAACCAAGUAUAAGAGUAUAAAGAGUAUGGACUCAAGAGUGCCAAUGGACAAAGUUCUUAGCUUUGUUUUCUUGAGGUGAGAUUGGGAGAAUGUGGGGUGUGUGAGCAGCCUUGUGAACUCCAAAACGAGCAGUCUUUGUUAUCUACUUCGUGGGCUUCAAGAUCUGCUCCAAACUGCCUUGAUAACUCCAAAAUGAGCAGUCUUCAUGAUCUACUUCAAGAGCUUCAAGAACAGCUUCAAAUCGCCAUCUUCUUGAUGGCUUCUUUUUCUUCAUCCCUUGAGAGAUCUUCAUUGGCGUGAAUUGA